AGAUUGAACGCUAGCGGGAUGCUUUACACAUGCAAGUCGAACGGCAGCGCGGACUUCGGUCUGGCGGCGAGUGGCGAACGGGUGAGUAAUAUAUCGGAACGUGCCCAGUAGCGGGGGAUAACUACGCGAAAGCGUGGCUAAUACCGCAUACACCCUACGGGGGAAAGGGGGGAUCGCAAGACCUCUCACUAUUGGAGCGGCCGAUAUCAGAUUAGCUAGUUGGUGAGGUAAAGGCUCACCAAGGCGACGAUCUGUAGCUGGUUUGAGAGGACGACCAGCCACACUGGGACUGAGACACGGCCAGACUCCUACGGGAGGCAGCAGUAGGGAUAUUGGACAAGUGG
This 344-nucleotide ribosomal RNA is filed under the name uncultured soil bacterium. Its description in RNAcentral is "bacterial SSU rRNA". It matches the Rfam family "Bacterial small subunit ribosomal RNA", at positions 26 to 375 of the family's 1533-position model. The record is from RNAcentral.